CGCCUCUUGCUACACCCCGCAUAAGAGGUCCUGCCUGCCCAGUGACACUAAGUUAAACGGCCGCGGUAUUUUGACCGUGCAAAGGUAGCGCAAUCACUUGUCUUUUAAAUAAAGACCCGUAUGAAUGGCAAGACGAGGGCUUAACUGUCUCCUUUUUCCAGUCAAUGAAAUUGAUCUUCCCGUGCAGAAGCGGGAAUAAGUCCAUAAGACGAGAAGACCCUGUGGAGCUUUAGACAAUAGACCCGCUCAUGUCAAUCCUCUUAAAUUAAUACCGAGUAAACCAAAUGGCCUCUGUUCUAAUGUCUUCGGUUGGGGCGACCAUGGGGAAUUACAAAACCCCCACGUGGAUUAGGAGCACCAUCUCCCACCCUCCUACAAACCAGAGAAACACCUCUAGUUAACAGAAAUUCUGACCUAAAAUGACCCGGCAACGCCGAUCAACGAACCAAGUUACCCCAGGGAUAACAGCGCAAUCCCCUUUCAGAGCCCAUAUCGACAAGGGGGUUUACGACCUCGAUGUUGGAUCAGGACAUCCUAGUGGUGCAACAGCUACUAAGGGUUCGUUUGUUCAACGAUUAAAGUCCU
RNAcentral lists this ribosomal RNA (585 nucleotides) under Zebrias zebra (zebra sole). RNAcentral's name for it is "partial 16S ribosomal RNA". It matches the Rfam family "Bacterial large subunit ribosomal RNA", at positions 1816 to 2597 of the family's 2925-position model. The record is from RNAcentral. Lineage: Eukaryota; Metazoa; Chordata; Actinopteri; Pleuronectiformes; Soleidae.